UGAGGAAUAUUGGUCAAUGGGCGGAAGCCUGAACCAGCCAUGCCGCGUGAAGGAAGAAGGCCCUAAGGGUUGUAAACUUCUUUUGUACGGGGGUAACACCAGGCUCGUGAGCUUGGAUGAAAGUACUGUACGAAUAAGCGUCGGCUAACUACGUGCCAGCAGCCGCGGUAAUACGUAGGACGCAAGCGUUAUCCGGAUUCAUUGGGUUUAAAGGGUGCGUAGGCGGGCCUUUAAGUCAGUGGUGAAAGUUUGCCGCUUAACGGUAAGAUUGCCAUUGAUACUGGAGGCCUUGAGUGCAGAUGAGGUAGGCGGAAUGUGUAGUGUAGUGGUGAAAUACUUAGAUAUUACACAGAACACCGAUUGCGAAGGCAGCUUGCUAAGUUGCAACUGACGCUGAGGC
Molecule: ribosomal RNA, 400 nt
Filed under: uncultured bacterium
Lineage: Bacteria
Description: bacterial SSU rRNA
Rfam family: Bacterial small subunit ribosomal RNA
Source: RNAcentral